This 392-nucleotide long non-coding RNA is filed under the name Astyanax mexicanus (Mexican tetra). RNAcentral describes it as "lncRNA (ENSAMXG00005004511.1)". Lineage: Eukaryota; Metazoa; Chordata; Actinopteri; Characiformes; Acestrorhamphidae. The record is from RNAcentral.
CAUAGACCAGUACAAAUUACUUUGUAAGGGUGAUGCUGACGACCAUGUGUCCUGUUGCAAAAAGUGAGAGUGAAUACAUGCAAGGACAGAAUUGUGAACUGAUUGAGGCAAAAGCUCGCUGGUUUGACUGUGUUGUGUGUAAGAAGAGAGAAGGUGGAGAGUAUGUUGAUUGUGCUUUAUAUAAAGAUAAAGCAAAGAGAAUAAAGAUGAAAGAUGAGUGUGACACUUACUUCCGUGGGGGUAAAACUGCUAUGUUGCAGUCACCAGGACAUGAUGAUCAGAAGUUUGGAUGUGUUGGAUGUGUCUGAUGUUGACACCUCUCACUAUGCUAACUGAAAAAAAUAUAUAGAAUUAUUAAACAAUAAAGGAAUAAAGAAACAUGAACCUGCUCA